This 317-nucleotide long non-coding RNA is filed under the name Nicotiana benthamiana. RNAcentral describes it as "long non-coding RNA (NBEN_LNC039266)". The record is from RNAcentral. Lineage: Eukaryota; Viridiplantae; Streptophyta; Magnoliopsida; Solanales; Solanaceae.
CUUCUUAUAAUAGAGAUUUAAUCCAUGAAAUUUUAACUCCUUAUUGCUGUUAUCUUUUUGCAGGGAUAAUUUUCGAGUGAAUGAAUGGGAAAUAGGAAAACUGAAUCUGAAAGGUGUUCUGAGACAGUGGGAGUUUAAAAUUGCAGUUUUUAGAAGAAUAUGCACAACAUACAAAUUUGAGUGCUUAGUCAUGUAAAUUCAUAUCUUCUAGAUACAUUUAUAACCAUCUUCCUGGUCCAUCCACCCUUAUAUUGUCUUAAUCUGCUAAUUCUCUAUUAGAAUACUACUUUCUUGCAUAUGCCACACGAAGCGAAGAA